Frieseomelitta varia is the source of this 666-nucleotide long non-coding RNA. RefSeq lists it as uncharacterized. The record is from RefSeq and is a predicted model, not a curated record. NCBI's taxonomy places the organism in Eukaryota, Metazoa, Arthropoda, Insecta, Hymenoptera, Apidae. The transcript is spliced from 3 exons.
GACACGUCAAGGGAUUGGAAAUGAUUCUUGAAACUUGCUGAUACGAUCUGCAACAGAAAAGUGAAGACACAAGUUCAUUUUUUCUCAACAGUCUCAAAAGUAAAGAAAUGCAGACAUUUAUACAUUUACAAAAAGUUGCAAAAAUAUCAAGAAAAGUCGAAUCGUGGAGCGAAACUUAAUCUGAAGAGAUCCAACAUCUUCUCUGCCAAAGAAAUAAGCGGAAUCCCUGUUCGUGACAAAUGUAGCGAGGCAACUCGGUGCCCCCGAACGAUUCCCAACGUGGAAACUCGUGUCUAAUGCUCAAAGCCGCCGAUGCGACGGGACACGGAGUUUGACACGACUCUAGAAGGGAAUGUUGACAAGUGAGCAACAGCUGAGCACUUAGUCGAGCAUGAGGAAAGGGAGUAUAUCCCGGGGGAGUCGUUGAGAUUUCCGGCGGCCGCCGACAGAGAAUCCUGGAUACGUCCUCCCCGUCGGGCAUCUCGUAAAUUUUGACAAUAAGAGAGUACGCUUAGCUCGUCGAACUUAUUUAUUUUCGAAGUGGAUACACAUUAAGAGCUACUCGUGUCGCUUUAUCAUUGGAAUAAAGCUCGUUAGCUCGGUAUCAGUAUCGAAUAGCGUGUAAUCACGCUGAUUAUGUCGUCUGAACGCUAAUUUUCACUAACA